Long non-coding RNA from Mytilus trossulus (common blue mussel), 403 nucleotides. RefSeq lists it as uncharacterized. NCBI's taxonomy places the organism in Eukaryota, Metazoa, Mollusca, Bivalvia, Mytilida, Mytilidae. The record is from RefSeq and is a predicted model, not a curated record. The transcript is spliced from 2 exons.
GAUUUUUCGUCUGCUGGUAUAGAUAUAAGUAAACCUGUAAUUACUCACUGUAACAGUGGAAUGUCUUCAUGUGGUCUAUGUUUCAUCCUCCAUUUGUGUGGUUGUCCUGGUACCUCAGUAUUUCUGGGAGGAUUCACAGAAUGGAAAGAUAAAGCUCCAAAGGAACUUAUUCAGAAAGUCAGCUAGACAGAAUCCCGCAAAGCAGAAAUAAGAUACAAUUAUGCAAACAUUCCAAUUUACAUAACACGUAUCCAAUCAUAAUAAACUUCUGGUGAAAAUAUUGAAAAUAAUUUAUUUGGUCGAUUGAACAAAAAUCAACUAUCGCAGAAUUCGAAUACAUGUAGUUUAAAAUAAAGCACAAAAGGUGAUAAUGUGUUAUCGCUAUUUUGUGCAUUUUUCCUUU